CUUAGGACCGUUAUAGUUACGGCCGCCGUUUACUGGGGCUUCGGUUCACAGCUUCGGAUUGCUCCUAACCGCUCCCCUUAACCUUCCAGCACCGGGCAGGCGUCAGCCCGUAUACUUCGCCUUACGGCUUCGCACAGACCUGUGUUUUUGCUAAACAGUCGCUUGGGCCUUUUCACUGCGGCCCCCUCGGGCUAUUCACCCUACCGAGGCACCCCUUCUCCCGAAGUUACGGGGUCAUUUUGCCGAGUUCCUUAACGAGAGUUCUUCCGCGCGCCUUAGCAUGCUCUGCUCGCCUACCUGUGUCGGUU
RNAcentral lists this ribosomal RNA (308 nucleotides) under Bacillus coniferum. RNAcentral describes it as "partial 23S ribosomal RNA". The record is from RNAcentral. Lineage: Bacteria; Bacillati; Bacillota; Bacilli; Caryophanales; Bacillaceae.